GACUUUGGCUAAAAAAAUAACCUGUCAAAGGAACUGGCAUUUGCUGACGGGACUACAGCACAUCUCGAAGAAUCUGCAGACUGAAACCUUCAAGGCAUUCAUGAAAUGGUCUUUCCUUAGUUCCCCUGCCCUUUCUACUCUUUCUGCCAUUUGGAUUUCACACUGGAAGUUCAAGAGAUGACAUCAGAAAACAGAAAAGCCAGUGGGAAAGGCAAGGAGAUUUGGAAGAGUGUUUGAAAAUUUUGGCAAUCAAGAAUAAGAAGAUGUUGAAAUCAAAUAGUUCCUGCUGGGCACUGUGAAGUAUUUAUCAGAAGUCAGUUAUAUUGCCAAUUCCCGACCAGCUUUACUUAAGACACUUGGGUGUGGAAAGAUAAUGCUGUCUAUGAAAUAAAU
This 393-nucleotide non-coding RNA is filed under the name Pongo abelii (Sumatran orangutan). The record is from RNAcentral. Lineage: Eukaryota; Metazoa; Chordata; Mammalia; Primates; Hominidae.